UAAGGAAUAUUGGUCAAUGCCCGCAAGGGUGAACCAGCCAUUCCGCGUGGAGGAUGAAGGCCCUAUGGGUUGUAAACUUCUUUUAGAUGGGAAGAAAAUGCUAGAUUUUUCUGGUACUGACGGUACCAUCAGAAUAAGCACCGGCUAACUCCGUGCCAGCAGCCGCGGUAAUACGGAGGGUGCGAGCGUUAUCCGGAAUUACUGGGUUUAAAGGGUGCGUAGGCGGAUGAUUAAGUCUAAGGUGAAAGUUUGUCGCUUAACGAUAAAAUUGCCUUGGAUACUGGUUAUCUUGAAUAAGGAUGAGGAUGGCGGAAUGUGGCAUGUAGCGGUGAAAUGCAUAGAUAUGCCAUAGAACACCAAUUGCGAAGGCAGCUAUCUGGUCUUUUAUUGACGCUGAGGCACGAAAGCGUGGGGAUCGAACA
This 422-nucleotide ribosomal RNA is filed under the name uncultured bacterium. RNAcentral's name for it is "bacterial SSU rRNA". It matches the Rfam family "Bacterial small subunit ribosomal RNA", at positions 355 to 774 of the family's 1533-position model. The record is from RNAcentral.